Molecule: transfer RNA, 65 nt
Filed under: Troglophilus neglectus
Lineage: Eukaryota; Metazoa; Arthropoda; Insecta; Orthoptera; Rhaphidophoridae
Description: tRNA-Gly
Source: RNAcentral
AUUUAUUUAGUAUAUUAGUACAUUUGACUUCCAAUCAAAUAGAUUGAAAUCUUUCAAAAUAAAUA